AUCCAGAUGGUGAGUCCCAAAUAGGACGAAAUGUGCAUCCUGGAU
RNAcentral lists this non-coding RNA (45 nucleotides) under Trichobilharzia regenti. Lineage: Eukaryota; Metazoa; Platyhelminthes; Trematoda; Strigeidida; Schistosomatidae. The record is from RNAcentral.